GAUGAACGCUGGCGGCGUGCUUAACACAUGCAAGUCGAACGGAAAGGCCCAAGCUUGCUUGGGUACUCGAGUGGCGAACGGGUGAGUAACACGUGGGUGAUCUGCCCUGCACUUCGGGAUAAGCCUGGGAAACUGGGUCUAAUACCGGAUAGGACCACUUCUUGGAUGUUGUGGUGGAAAGUUUUUUCGGUGUGGGAUGAGCUCGCGGCCUAUCAGCUUGUUGGUGGGGUAAUGGCCUACCAAGGCGUCGACGGGUAGCCGGCCUGAGAGGGUGUACGGCCACAUUGGGACUGAGAGACGGCCCAGACGCCUACGGGAGGCAGCAGGGGGGAAUAUUGAACAAUGGGCGCAAGCCUGAUGCAGCGACGCCGCGGGGGGGAUGACGGCCUUCGGGUUGUAAACUCCUUGCGCUAGGGACGAAGCGUUUUGUGACGGUACCUGGAGAAGAAGCACCGGCUAACUACGUG
RNAcentral lists this ribosomal RNA (467 nucleotides) under uncultured bacterium. RNAcentral's name for it is "partial 16S ribosomal RNA". It matches the Rfam family "Bacterial small subunit ribosomal RNA", at positions 28 to 507 of the family's 1533-position model. The record is from RNAcentral.